This 254-nucleotide ribosomal RNA is filed under the name uncultured bacterium. RNAcentral's name for it is "partial 16S ribosomal RNA". It matches the Rfam family "Bacterial small subunit ribosomal RNA", at positions 524 to 776 of the family's 1533-position model. The record is from RNAcentral.
UACGAAGGGGGCUAGCGUUGUCCGGAAUCACUGGGCGUAGAGGGCGCGUAGGCGGCUAUUCAAGUCGGGGGGUGAAAGCCUGUGGCUCAACCACAGAAUUGCCUUCGAUACUGUUUGGCUUGAGACCGGAAGAGGACAGCGGAACUGCGAGUGUAGAGGUGAAAUUCGUAGAUAUUCGCAAGAACACCAGUGGCGAAGGCGGCUGUCUGGUCCGGUUCUGACGCUGAGGCGCGAAAGCGUGGGGAGCAAACAGG